Long non-coding RNA from Lonchura striata (white-rumped munia), 1706 nucleotides. The record is from Ensembl. Lineage: Eukaryota; Metazoa; Chordata; Aves; Passeriformes; Estrildidae.
CUCCCCACGCCCCCGCCGGCGAGGUGAGAGCCAGGUCGGUCCGCCCGCCCGGCCCCGCGGCAGCCCGGCCCUUACCAGGGACAGCACUUUGUAGGUGUUGGGAUCCUUGCUCUUGCCGCCCGGAGGCUUCUCCGGCUCCUCAGCCACCUCCAUGGCCGGCAGCAUGGGCACAGCCGCAGUCUGCAGCCCGCCAUCAGCCGCCCCGACCCCGUCCAGGUGGUCCUCGUGGCCCUUCCCCGCUUGCUGCCCGUUCCCCUGCAUGGUGCCCGCGGCUCUGCCCUCCGCCCGCCCGGACACGGCUAUUAAUAUCCCGGCGGCCCGGUCCCGCCCCGCCCGCAGCGCGGACACCGGCGGGCCCCGCUCCCCUGCCGGCAGCGGCGUGGAGGAGGGAGCGGGAUGUUCCCCUCCUUCCCUGCCCUGCCCGCCUCGCUCGGUCACCCGGCUCGGCCGCCCCCCGCUUCCCGACCCCUUCCUGCAGGUGGCAGCGGGAUGCCCGUGGAAACCCCCUCAAUGCGAGGCAUCAGCCGAGCCCAGUGCCCGCACACCGGGGGCGCAGCGCAGCAGGCGGCUUCGUCGCCCGCCCAGGAGACACUGCGACUCCUUUGGGGUGAUAUGGUCUUUUCAGCCAGGAAAAGAGGACACUGAAGGGAGACAUCAUCCCGUGUUUACAACUUCUCGUGAAGAGAAGAGGAAAGGCAAGCACUGAUCUCUUCUCUGCAGCGACCAGCGACAGCACUUGAGGAAAUGGCCUGGAGUUAUAUCAGGGGAGGUUUAGAUUGGAUAUCAGGAAAAGGUUCCGCACGCAGAGGGUGGCUGGGCACUGGAACGGGCUUCCUAGGGAAGUAAUCACAGCACCAAGCCUGACAGAGCUCGAGAAGUCCUUAGACAAUGCACUCAGGCAGUUGGUGUGACUGUUGAGGAUGGUCCUGUGCCGGGUCAGGAGUUGGACUUGAUAAUCCUUGCGGGUCCCUUCCGGCUCAGCAUAUUCUCUGAUUCUGUGACUUUGGACUCACUGCCCCCAAGCCAGGCACUGCUCAGAGGGCUAGUGUUGUUGGGGUGAAAUCCAUGUUUGAUGCCCUUCAGGGCCUUUUAUUGGGACUGGCACCAUCUGGCUCCACAAUGUCACUUCCCAGUCUUUCCCACUAAAUUCAGCCCUGCUUGUUUGGUAAGACAGAGGUGUUUGUACACACCCUGACUGUCCAUGGGGAAAGGCAGUUCACCCCAUGUGUGUAAGUACAGCCCUGACUACGGGACUGGCUCUAGAUGUGGGUCAUUCCUCCUUUCUGUAAUAGAUCUGUGAGUGUUGAGUAGCAUCGAGACUUGCAAAGUAUGCCUAAGCUUAAAACUACUACAAGUAUUUCAUUAUCCAUAAUUCUUUAAGUUUUUAUACCAUAUACAUUUAUGUAUGUUGACAUUAGGUUUAGUCUUUCAGUUCUAAUGGGAUGGUGGAUUUGAUUUCCUAGGGCUUCAGGAGUUUACAUCACAUUUAUUUUAACUGUAAGUGUACUCAGAAAGGAGUGGCCCUUGCAUAGUUUCUGACAAAAAUCCAUAUUUUCUAAAAAAUAGCUACAGUGGAAUGAAAACUUCCUUUGGAAGUGAUCUUGAUCCCAGUUGAAAUGUUGUUGCUCUACUUUCUAUUUCAGUUGAGUUGCAAGAACAAGCUGUCAGUACAACUUCCCAUUAAAAAUAAUUGCUGAGAUGCAGCA